CAUUAAAAGCAUGAACUAACACGGUGGUUGAAGUAUUAGGUGUUGAACUUUCUUAGUGGCGAACGGGUGAGUAACGCGUGGCAACCUGCCCUCUAGAUGGGGACAACAUCCCGAAAGGGGUGCUAAUACCGAAUGUGACAGCAAUCUCGCAUGAGGAUGCUGUGAAAGAUGGCCUCUAUUUAUAAGCUAUCGCUCGAAGAUGGGCCUGCGUCUGAUUAGCUAGUUGGUGGGGCAACGGCCUACCAAGGCGACGAUCAGUAGCCGGUCUGAGAGGAUGAACGGCCACAUUGGAACUGAGACACGGUCCAGACUCCUACGGGAGGCAGCAGUGGGGAAUCUUCCGCAAUGGGCGAAAGCCUGACGGAGCAACGCCGCGUGAGUGAAGAAGGCCUUCGGGUCGUAAAGCUCUGUUGUCGGGGACGAAUGUAGUAACCAUCAACAACGGUAACUAAUGACGGUACCUGACGAGGAAGCCACGGCUAACUACGUG
RNAcentral lists this ribosomal RNA (490 nucleotides) under uncultured bacterium. Its description in RNAcentral is "bacterial SSU rRNA". It matches the Rfam family "Bacterial small subunit ribosomal RNA", at positions 52 to 507 of the family's 1533-position model. The record is from RNAcentral.